This 2874-nucleotide ribosomal RNA is filed under the name Parabacteroides distasonis. RNAcentral describes it as "23S ribosomal RNA". It matches the Rfam family "Bacterial large subunit ribosomal RNA". The record is from RNAcentral. Lineage: Bacteria; Pseudomonadati; Bacteroidota; Bacteroidia; Bacteroidales; Tannerellaceae.
AGAAAGUAAGCAAGGGCAGACGGUGGAUGCCUUGGCUCUCGGAGGCGACGAAGGACGUGAUAAGCUGCGAAAAGCCCGGGGGAGGCGCAAAUAGCCCUUGAUCCCGGGAUAUCCGAAUGGGGCAACCCGGCAGGCUGAAGGCCUGUCAUCCCGUAAGGGAGGCGAACGUGGGGAACUGAAACAUCUAAGUACCCAUAGGAGGAGAAAAUAAACAAUGAUUCCGUAAGUAGUGGCGAGCGAACACGGAAGAGCCCAAACCCAUGUCGUCUAGGCGACACGGGGGUUGUAGGACCACGACGUGGCAAGAUAGAGUCAAGUGGAACGCCUUGGAAAAGGCGGUCAUAGAGGGUGAAAACCCCGUACACGACUGACGAUUGAAGCCUAGUGGCAUCCUGAGUAGCGCGGGGCACGAGAAAUCUUGCGUGAAACAGCGGGGCCCAUCCCGUAAGGCUAAAUACUCCCGAGAGACCGAUAGCGAACCAGUACCGUGAGGGAAAGGUGAAAAGAACCCCGAGCAGGGGAGUGAAAUAGACCCUGAACCCGUCUGCCUACAAGCGGUCGGAGCAUAGCAAUAUGUGACGGCGUGCCUUUUGCAUAAUGAACCUACGAGUUACCUUCCCCGGCAAGGUUAAGUACCUAAGGUACGGAGCCGAAGCGAAAGCGAGUCUGAAGAGGGCGGCCAGUCGGGGGGGUAGACGCGAAACCGAGUGAUCUACCCUUGGCCAGGUUGAAGGUUGGGUAACACCAACUGGAGGACCGGAUGGGUAAGCGUUGAAAAGCUUUCCAAUGAGCUGAGGGUAGGGGUGAAAGGCUAAUCAAACUCGGAGAUAGCUCGUACUCCCCGAAAUGCAUUUAGGUGCAGCCUCUUUAUAGUAUAUCGUGAGGUAGAGCGACUGAUUGGAUGCGAGGGCUUCACCGCCUAUCAAGUCCAGAUAAACUCCGAAUGCGCGAUAUAUAUUUACAGGGAGUGAGGGCGCGGGUGCUAAGGUCCGUGUCCGAGAGGAGAAGAAUCCAGACCACCGGCUAAGGCCCCCAAAUGAUCGUUGAGUUGAACUAACGAGGUCGGAUCGCAGAGACAGCUAGGAUGUUGGCUUGGAAGCAGCCAUUCAUUUAAAGAGUGCGUAACAGCUCACUAGUCGAGCGAUCUGGCGUGGAUAAUAAUCGGGCAUAAACGAUCUGCCGAAGCCGUGGAUGUCGUAAGACAUGGUAGGGGAGCAUUCCAUGCGGCGUCGAAGAUGAGGGAUGACCCUUGUUGGAGCGCAUGGAAAAGCAAAUGUAGGUAUGAGUAACGAUAAGGGGGGCGAGAAACCCCCCCGCCGAAAGACCAAGGUUUCCUGAUCAACGCUAAUCGGAUCAGGGUGAGUCGGGACCUAAGGCAAAGCCGAACGGCGCCGCCGAUGGAAGAAUGGGUUAAUAUUCCCAUACUGCCUCAUGGAGUGACGUGGAGACGGAGAAGUGACAGUCCUGCCGGCUGACGGAAUAGCCGGUUGAAGGGUGUAGAUAUUGAUUCCCGUAGGCAAAUCCGCGGGGAGAGUCGAACCUGACAGUAUACCGAGUACUUGUACGAGGUAAUAUGGACGUAACCAUGCUCCCAAGAAAAUCCGCUAAACUUAUCCAUGCGGCACCCGUACCGUAAACGGACACACGUGGUCGGGUUGAGAAUACUGAGGCGCUCGAGUGACUCACGGUUAAGGAACUAGGCAAAUUGACCCUGUAACUUCGGGAUAAAGGGUCCUCGUCGUAAGGCGAGGCGCAGAGAAUAGGUCCAGGCAACUGUUUAACAAAAACACAUGGCUAUGCUAAAUGGAAACAUGACGUAUAUAGCCUGACACCUGCCCGGUGCUGGAAGGUUAAGAGGAGAUGUCAUCGCAAGAGAAGCGUUGAAUUGAAGCCCCAGUAAACGGCGGCCGUAACUAUAACGGUCCUAAGGUAGCGAAAUUCCUUGUCGGGUAAGUUCCGACCUGCACGAAUGGUGUAAUGAUCUGGACACUGUCUCAACCGUGAGCUCGGUGAAAUUGUAGUAUCGGUGAAGAUGCCGAUUACCCGCGAUGGGACGAAAAGACCCCGUGAACCUUUACUAUAGCUUUACAUUGAAUUUGGGCAGACGAUGUGUAGGAUAGGCCGGAGGCUUUGAAGGGGGUACGCCAGUAUCCUUGGAGCCGCCGUUGAAAUACGGCCCUUCGGUUGUUUGAGUUCUAACUCCUAGGCAGGAGGACACUGUAUGGUGGGUAGUUUGACUGGGGUGGUCGCCUCCAAAAGCGUAACGGAGGCUUCUAAAGGUGCCCUCAGACCGAUUGGUAACCGGUCGCAGAGUGUAAUGGCAUAAGGGCGCUUGACUGGGAGAGAUACAACUCGAUCAGGUAGGAAACUAGAGCAUAGUGAUCCGGUGGUUCCGCAUGGAAGGGCCAUCGCUCAAAGGAUAAAAGGUACUCCGGGGAUAACAGGCUGAUCAUUCCCAAGAGCUCAUAUCGACGGAAUGGUUUGGCACCUCGAUGUCGGCUCGUCACAUCCUGGGGCUGGAGAAGGUCCCAAGGGUUGGGCUGUUCGCCCAUUAAAGUGGCACGCGAGCUGGGUUCAGAACGUCGUGAGACAGUUCGGUCUCUAUCUAUCGUGGGCGCAGGAGAUUUGAGGGGCUCUGACACUAGUACGAGAGGACCGUGUUGGACGUACCACUGGUUUACCGGUUGUCCCGCCAGGGGCACCGCCGGGUAUCUAAGUACGGAUCGGAUAAGUGCUGAAAGCAUCUAAGUACGAAGCCGGCCUCAAGAUUAGAUCUCCCUCAAGGGUGGUUAUAGACGAUGACCUUGAUAGGCCACAGGUGUAAGGGCGGCGACGUCCGAGCCGAGUGGUACUAAUAGCCCGGGACUUUCCUCA